CCUACGGGAGGCAGCAGUGGGGAAUAUUGCACAAUGGGGGAAACCCUGAUGCAGCGACGCCGCGUGAGUGAAGAAGUAUUUCGGUAUGUACAGCUCUAUCAGCAGGGAAGAAGAUGACGGUACCUGAUCAAGAAGCCCCUGCUAACUACGUGCCAGCAGCCGCGGUAAUACGUAGGGGGCAAGCGUUAUCCGGAUUUACUGGGUGUAAAGGGAGCGUAGACGGCAGGACAAGUCUGGAGUGAAAUGCCGGGGCUGAACCCCGGAACUGCUUUGGAAACUGUGCAGCUAGAGUGCAGGAGAGGUAGGUGGAAUUCCUAGUGUAGCGGUGAAAUGCGUAGAUAUUAGGAGGAACACCAGUGGCGAAGGCGGCUUACUGGACUGUAACUGACGUUGAGGCUCGAAAGCGUGGGGAGCAAACAGGAUUAGAUACCCGGGUAGUC
This 440-nucleotide ribosomal RNA is filed under the name uncultured bacterium. RNAcentral describes it as "partial 16S ribosomal RNA". It matches the Rfam family "Bacterial small subunit ribosomal RNA", at positions 338 to 795 of the family's 1533-position model. The record is from RNAcentral.